This 497-nucleotide ribosomal RNA is filed under the name uncultured bacterium. Its description in RNAcentral is "partial 16S ribosomal RNA". It matches the Rfam family "Bacterial small subunit ribosomal RNA", at positions 28 to 507 of the family's 1533-position model. The record is from RNAcentral.
GAUGAACGCUGGCGGCGUGCCUAAUACAUGCAAGUCGAGCGAACAGACGAGGAGCUUGCUCCUCUGACGUUAGCGGCGGACGGGUGAGUAACACGUGGAUAACCUACCUAUAAGACUGGGAUAACUUCGGGAAACCGGAGCUAAUACCGGAUAAUAUGUUGAACCGCAUGGUUCAACAGUGAAAGACGGUUUUGCUGUCACUUAUAGAUGGAUCCGCGCCGCAUUAGCUAGUUGGUAAGGUAACGGCUUACCAAGGCAACGAUGCGUAGCCGACCUGAGAGGGUGAUCGGCCACACUGGAACUGAGACACGGUCCAGACUCCUACGGGAGGCAGCAGUAGGGAAUCUUCCGCAAAGGGCGAAAGCCUGACGGAGCAACGCCGCGUGAGUGAAGAAGGUCUUCGGAUCGUAAAACUCUGUUAUUAGGGAAGAACAAAUGUGUAAGUAACUAUGCACGUCUUGACGGUACCUAAUCAGAAAGCCACGGCUAACUACGUG